This 204-nucleotide unclassified non-coding RNA is filed under the name uncultured Basidiomycota. RNAcentral's name for it is "sequence contains ITS1". Lineage: Eukaryota; Fungi; Basidiomycota. The record is from RNAcentral.
CUGAAUUUUAAUGCCGGGGUUGUAGCUGGCCUCUCUCGGGCAUGUGCACACCCUGGUUAUCCAAAUUCUAUACCUCUGUGCACUCUUCAUAGGACAGUCGAGGCUGAUUUUACUUUACGGUAAAAAACAGUCAAAGCCGUUCUAUGCUUUUUACAUUUAUACGCUUCAGUAAAGAAUGUAUCUCGCGUUUGACGCAAUUAAAUA